RNAcentral lists this ribosomal RNA (243 nucleotides) under uncultured bacterium. Its description in RNAcentral is "partial 16S ribosomal RNA". It matches the Rfam family "Bacterial small subunit ribosomal RNA", at positions 528 to 771 of the family's 1533-position model. The record is from RNAcentral.
UAGGGGGCGAGCGUUAUCCGGAUUCAUUGGGCGUAAAGCGCGCGUAGGCGGCGCGCCAAGCGGGACCUCUAACCCCGGGGCUCAACCCCGGGCCGGGUCCCGGACUGGCGCGCUCGAGUGCGGUAGAGGCGAGUGGAAUUCCCGGUGUAGCGGUGGAAUGCGCAGAUAUCGGGAAGAACACCGAUGGCGAAGGCAGCUCGCUGGGCCGCCACUGACGCUGAGGCGCGAAAGCUGGGGGAGCGA